GGGGAUGUACCUCAGUGGCAGAGAGCAUGCUUCCCAUGUGUAAGGCCUCGGGUUCAGUCCCUGGCAUUUCCA
This is a transfer RNA of Ovis aries (sheep), 72 nucleotides long. It matches the Rfam family "tRNA". Rfam says of the family: Transfer RNA (tRNA) molecules are approximately 80 nucleotides in length. Their secondary structure includes four short double-helical elements and three loops (D, anti-codon, and T loops). Lineage: Eukaryota; Metazoa; Chordata; Mammalia; Artiodactyla; Bovidae. The record is from Rfam.